CACCGCCCGUCGCUACGACUGAUUGAAUGAUUUAGUGAGUUUUUCGGACUGGCGCUCGAAGCGGCUUUCGGAUCGCGUCGGCUUGCCGGAAAGAUGACCAUAUUUGAUUAUUUAGAGGAAACAAAAGUCGUAACACGGUUUCCGUAGCUUGCGGAAA
This 157-nucleotide non-coding RNA is filed under the name Stegodyphus mimosarum. Its description in RNAcentral is "eukaryotic small subunit ribosomal RNA". It matches the Rfam family "Eukaryotic small subunit ribosomal RNA", at positions 1667 to 1823 of the family's 1831-position model. The record is from Rfam by way of RNAcentral. Lineage: Eukaryota; Metazoa; Arthropoda; Arachnida; Araneae; Eresidae.